UUUUUUUUUUUUUUUUUUCUACUUAAAAAUAAAUCUCCAUAAAAUACACACUAUCUUUUAGAUACGGUAUUUAAUCAUGCUCAAUUAACAAAAAUAAAUGCAUAAACAUAACUUUCCAUCAUGCGAAAAUCUUCUUGAGAAUUAUACCUUAAAAUUCUAAACAAAGAGAUUAUUAACAAACACAAACAUCGUAUACAUAUAUAAUUUAACUCUUAUCAAGUGCAAAAUUGGCAAAGUGGAAAGGUCAAUUGUAGCCAAUUUUGUCAAUUAAGGCUCAACUUGGUAAUAGAUGGUCAAUUUAGUCGAUAAACAACAUUACAUCAACAUUUGUUAUUUUUGAUAAACAUUGAUAAAAAAGUACUCAGUUCCAUUAAACGAAGUAAAAAGAAUUUCUAAAAUAGUUAUUUAUUUCUUUGGACUUGGGCUUGGAUUUUAAUGAAGGGGUUGAUCUUGGGCUUGGAUUUUAAUGAAGGAGCUAGCAUGAAUAACUAUGGGAUUGAUUUACCCAAAACAUUCACUAGUUGAUUUAGAAAUGAAGGGCUUGUGCUUGGACUCAUUUCCGUUCCACUUCCAACCACUGCCAGAUUAAGAUAAGCAUGGAAUGAUGGGCUUGGGCUUGGGCUUGGAUUUGGACAUUCACACUACUAUUUACAACAGCUACCCUUUUAUUAUUUUUCUUUAAUAACUCAUAAAUGGAUUGAAAACUUUAAUAUUGUGGUGUGACAUUAAAUAUUUUUCUUUAACCACACAUUGCAUUUGGUCUAGGGGCAAAGAUAUCGUGUUGUGAAACUAAGUUUUGUACCAGGGGGCAGGGAGCAACUGAGCAAGUGAUCCUUAAAAUGAAACAAAGGUGCAGUAUAUUGUAAGUUUGUAACAUAACGGUCGGUUCCAUCUGGUCUGGUCGACAUGUUUGUUAAAUCAAUGUCUCACUUUCUAAGUUGCAAUUUGCAUGUCUUGAAGAGGUGGUGAAUUCACGACUUCGUGGAUGUCAUGAUGUUCAAAAAUAUGUAUGUGAUUCACUAUGGUUACAAUGGUCUUGUUCCAUUCAAUCUAUAUUGUUUACCACAACUUUGUCCCCAAACUGUAAAUUCAUGUGCAUUUACAAUGAGAUAUAAUAUCACAAAUGAGGUAUACAUACCACAGAAGCUGAUGCAAAGACGGAAAGCUGUUACAUUCUUCUAUCAGGAUGAUUCUUUUUUUACCUCAACAUAUUCACAUCCCUAUAAUACAAUUAUACUUUGGUCUCAACAUUUACAGACAAUCAAAUACACCCCAAUCUCGUUCUCAUUUUGUAUUUUAGAACCAGCUGAAUUGGUCAUCUUCUUUCCUUGCCUUAAUCUAGCCUGCCCCAUUGACAACAGAGUGAGUUGACUGAACUAGCAUGUACUAUACUGUAAGCACACCAUGAACCAAAAGACCUGUCAAACCAGACUCUGUGACAGCCUCAAAAGGGUAACAAAAACUCACAAUCUGAUUGAGCCAUUGUGACUAAUAGAUUGUGCUCUGCUUACACAUUCUAUACUUCGGCUCUUUCAGUAUAGUCCUGGCCGAGUUCAGAUUGGAGCUUUCCUGUUAGACUCUGCAUUGAUAUUAAAGAAUUUUGUAAGAAAAAUAUUUUGCCAUGUGACAAACAAUUAUGCUUGAGAGAUAUAAUUCGAUCUGAAACUAAAAAAAUAAUGGCACAGCAGUUAAAGCCUAUAUUAGACAUCAUAAAUCAAGCAAAGUAGGGGAUUCCCAAAUAUAGCAUAACAUAAAAACUCGUAUUUAACUUAAGCUUACUUGCUAGCCGAAUUAAAAAACACAAUAUAUUCUUGUAAAGAUAACUCUGUAGAUCCAAGACAACACUAAACUAAUAAAAAUUCCAUAAGUGCAUGAUGGAAAUAAAUAUGGUUUACCAUCAUUAAACCAUUUGUAACAGUGAUAUGCAGUUCUUUUGCCCAUGUAGCCUUGCUAUGGUCAUUUACUAGUAAAAAAGUAGGCAUGUAGGUGGUGACCACCUGCUGAACCGAAAGAAGGCCUGGCUAGACUAUAUAGGUCCAUGGUGAUGGGAGUAUACUUGUCCAGGGAGAGUUCUACGACCAGGUUAUGUAACCCGCACUAAUGGUUAACUCUCACUUAUUGAAAACAAUUUCCAAGACAUCACAUUAAGACCAUUUAACAUUAUUAUAACUAUACAUCAAUGACAUGUGCAACGCGCACAGAACAAUAGCUUGUAAGAGCAUUCCCAAUGGUAGGUUUUAAAUCACUUUUAGCAACUUUUAGUAAAAAACUCUUGCCAAUAGUGGGUUUUAACACACUUUUCAAGUAAAACACUUUUAUCUCCUUGGCAAAUUUGCCAAGGAGUUAAAAGUGCCACAUAGGACCAUUUUAUUAAUUAAAAAUUAGAUUUCAUCACAAUGUACACUAUAUUUUUGGGGAAAAGUGAAACCUUAAAUUUUAACCCUUGUUUUAAAACCAACCAUUGGUAACUCUAAAAGUGCUAAUCACUUUUAACAUAAAUUUUAUGCUAAAACCUUUUCUCUCUCUCCUAUGUGGCACCCUUAAAACCCUUUUACUAUUGGGAAUGCUCUAACAUGUAUAAUGGAGUGAAAACUAAAAGUAAAGGUGCACUAAGACCAUUUAAUAUAGACCUCAAAGGAAUCAGAAUGGUCACACGGAUCAUUCUCGAUAAACGAAAAUAACUCAGCCAGCCAAAGGAAAAAGGAUCGGACUAGUAUACCACAAUGCACGCCAGACCAAUGUUAACUUCAAGACUACUAUCACAUAUCAGUUUGGGCAUACUUGCAUAAGAAGAAAACCAAACAGAGUGCAACUUGAUGAACCUAGCCUGAACCCAACAAACUUUUAUCAAAACACAAAUUGGCUGGAAGCCAUCUUUCAGCUGUUUUGAAUGCCCAACACAUCUCUACUUGAGAAACCCAAGUCCAUGUACAAAACCCCAUAUCGCUACCAUCUCUUCUUUAGUUUCAACAGAAUAUACAUUGAAUAUACAUUGACUACAAAUCAUAGCUUACACCGAUUUCUUUGAAGAUAAUGCCUCUAGAAUUUCUGUAGUACAUGAACGAUCAUCUGCAUUUUGUGCCACCAUCCUUCGUAGCAAAUCCUUGACAUAUCCAUACUCAUCCUCUAAGGAUGACGGAAGCUCUCCUUUCAUCAGUGCAGAAAUCUUUGGCAACCUCUCUGUUUCAGUCACACAACUAUCAAAAAUAUCAAAAAGCAGUACUCCUAUACUGUAAAUGUCUACCUGUAAUUAGAUUAUAAAUCAAUAUUUCAUCCCUAUAAUUUGAUUCAAACAUCAAUAAAAUACAUUGAAUAUUCAAAAGUUCGAAACCAUAAAAUAGAAGAAAUCAAAUUUGCAAGUUUCUUAACUUAAUAAACAAAAUAAAAAAAUUCAUGGACUUGAUUGUAAACAUGAUAAGAACAAUAUUUUUGAAAAUAAACUACCAUAAAAUCACUUUUAAAGAUUCACACGAUUGUUAUUGCUAUCCUAUCAGAAUUGGAGUUAGUUAAUAUGGCCAGGGCACAACAUUGGCUCUGGAGGAGUCUAUUGAAAUGCUAACAAAUUGUUCACAAGUGUAGAUGACGUACUUAAUAAUUUCUUUUAACAACAAAAGCUUGAUUAUUAAUAUUAAAGAAAUUACAGCCUGGUACAAGGGAGAUAUUACUUAGCAAGGUACUAUGUACUAAGGAGCACACAACCUAAGUUUUACCAAAGAAACAGACAAUAAAGACCUUACAAUCUCUUGAUCUCAUCACACUAACACAUAAAUUCUUUUUUUUUUUUUUUGAAAGCCUGUUUUAACGAGAUCAGUAACUCAAUGAUGCACUGCCAGGGAUCAAACCCCAGACCUCUGGUAUCAUUGCCCAGAGGUAUUACCAACUGGGCUCAACUGGCAUCUGCCUUGCACAUAAAUUCUUAAUAGUGUAGAUAUCUAAAAGCAACUAUUGAAUCAUAUAGGUAUGGGCUAUUUUCCCCAAACCCCUAUAGGCCAAUUUGUAGAAACCCCACCCAACCUCAAUAAUUUAUUUUACCCUUUCUCCGUCGUGACGAUCAGCUCUACUUUGUUAGAAGCGUUUGCAAAUUACCAUUGUACACUGAUGACAUGUCAAAUUAUAGUGUGGAAAAAACCCAGCCACAUAUUUAGAAUCAAUGAGUUCACUCAUCUAAUAGACCUACAAUGAGAAUGUUGAGAAAGCUUGCUCUCUGCCUCUAUUAAUAAUACGAACAAAACAAAACCAAGAUGAUGCAAGAGAUCAUACUCAAAAUAUUACUUAUUACAUGAAUUUCUAUUUUACUAAUAGGUUUAAGAUUUCUAAUUUAUUUUUAAUAUUUGUCAUUAAUAUUUAGGUAAUUAUUAACAGUAUCUAAAAGAGUCUUAUAUGAGUUCUAGUAGGUUUAGGAAGUCCUUUUAGUAGGUUUACGAAAUUUUUACUAUUUUAAUUGGGUUCCUACUUGUUAUCUAUAUAAAGAGCUCCAAAAAUGAAAAUGGUAUUAUUCAAUUAUUCAAUCAACUUAUUAUCCAAUCAAUCUAAGAGAAUUUCUCUCAAAUUUAUUUUAUGUUUUAGUUUUUAUCAAAUCUAUCGAUUCUUUUUACACUUCUGCUACAUUACAACAUCCAAUAUAAAUUCUAGAUCUAAAGCACAAAUAAGUGAAGGUGAAGAUCUAAAGCGUGAAUUUCAGUGCAUAUAGCUUAAGUUAUAUAGGGGUUUGGACAAUUGUAUUCUUUACUUCCAAAUGCAUUUUGGAGUCCUCUUGGAUCUCUUCCCCAAAAUCCUUCUCUUUCAAUCCUUCCACAAAUCCAUAGAAUGGCGAGAGGUUUAUAAUAUAUAUGGAGGAAAUUUUACCUUCCUAGUCACAGUUCGACUUUCAAGGAGCUCUGGUGCCCUAUAACUAGGAUUUCCCAAGUAAGUAAGUGGAUCAAACGCUGUGAAGUUCAUUGCCGAAGUUGGAUCUACGUAUUGGGCUGCAGAAACAAAUAAAAGAUAACGUCAUUUUUGGUUUGUGAAACCAAUAACAUAAAACAAUCAAUAACAAAUAUACAGAAAAUAAUAGUGGAGAAACAAAACUUUACCUAAGCCAAAAUCGCAUAGUCUUACAUCACCACUAGAAUCAAAUAAGAUGUUGUCCGGAGUUACAUCACAGUGACAAAUUCCUUGGGUAUGGACAUUGUGAAUUGCCUCAACAAUUUGCAUGAAUAUCUGCCAAGCUUUAUCCAUUUCAAUUUUCUUCCUUCCCAAUGAUUUUUCAAUUUCCUUCAAAUCAAUAAAUGAUAAAGUUAUUAAUAAACUGAUUUAAUAAAAUACACAUUAACGGCUGGUAGUAACAGGAAAAGGUGAUACAUUGCCACAGAUAACAAAUAUCUAUUAGAUAACCCAAUGGGAUGGAAACAUGCCAAAAACAAAACAAAACAGAGAGAAGUACGACUAUGGCCCUGACUGGUAAUUGGUUUCUGAAUAGAGCAAAUGCAUUAGUAUUAAGUUGUGAGCACUGUAUCGAGAAAAUAGCUAUACGGUGAGAAAAUACGAUUUUCUUUUCUCAUUGUUUAAGUUAACAAUCAAACAGCUAAAUAAUACCCCUUUUCCACUGGUCCAUUGAGAAAACAUGUAAGUUUUCUCAUUACAUUGGGAAAAUGCUUGUAAUCAAACACACUCUUAGAAUUCCAAACUAGUGAGAAAAUAGGGUUAUUUUCCCACUAGGGUGAGAAAAGAGGAAGGUUAAUUUCCUUCUCUUUGUCCACCGUUAGAUAUAAUUCAGACAACAUCUGACCAUCCACCUUAAUACAUAUUUAUACUUCCUUUGAGGAGACAAAAAAAACAGUUUGUGUUGGAGAAGUAGAGGCAACAGACGAUUCUUGGUAAAUGCUCAUUUUUUAUCUUUCUUUCAUUCUAUCAACAAUUUUGUGCUGUAAAUCUGAUUUUGUGAGGUAAUUGUAAAUCUGUAACAAUUUUUUCAUCUAUUUUUCAUUUGUUCUUUCAUCCAUCAACUAUUUUUCGUCUUUCUUUCAUCCAUCAUCUUUCUCUCUGUUAACCGUAGACUGUUAAUUGUAGAUCUGUAUAGAUCUGUUCAUUUCGAACUCGAAAACUGUAAAUUAUAAUUGUAGAUCUGUUCAAUUUCUUCAAAAUUUCUCUACUACAAACUCAAGUGUUAACAACAAAGUGGGUUUUUUUUGUAAGUGUUAACUCUUUUUUCAACAAAAGGAAGUUUCUCUCUCUCUGUUUUUCUCUCUGUAGAGAAGCAGGGGAUGUGAAAAAAGUUUGGAAUUUGUUGUUUUCUAGUAUUAAAGUUUCAAACUUUAAUCAAAUUUGAAGUUCAUAACAUCAAAACUACUAAAAGUAGUUGAAAUGAUGGCAAGGAUUCUUCGAAAUGCUCAUUAUGUUUGGUUCUAUGGUCCAUCUUUGUGCUUGCAACAUAUAUGAUAAAUUUUAGCUUUUGCGUUUUAUUUCUAGCUUGUGGUCUGAUCAAGAUCUGCAAAAAUUGUUCUAGCUUUCUUUCCUUAUUAUUGUUGGUUUCUCUUUGUUAAAAUGCUCGAGUUCAGUUAAAAUAAGCAUUUUUGGUGUUUUAUAGCUUGCUAAUAGAUGUAAAAAAAUUUAUAGCUUGCUAAUAGAUGUAAACUUUACAAAUCUAUGUUGUUUAGUUUUAGUGCGCAAAUCUAACUAUUGGUUUUUGUUUUUCGAUCAUGUCUACAAAUUGGUUGGAAUUACUGUAACUAGUUCAUUGGACUUUGGGUUACAUCGGUUACAUUGGAUUUAGGAGGUCUCUCAUCUUUGAUUCUGCAGCUGCUCGGUAUGGAUAUUUAAGCCAAAUUUAUUUUGUAAUGCUUAAUAUGACUAUGAUGUAUUGUGUAGUGAUUAGUAAGAUAAGUAUGAGAAUUGUGUUUAAGCAUGAUCCUAAAGUGAUAGGAGUGAUUUUUCUAAACCUCUAUUUUUCAUGUAUAGAUUCUUGACAAGAUAUUUGUUUACACGGUCUCAUGCUUGAAUUACAAACUGAUUAUAUGUUUGGAUUAAAUUGAUUAAUUAGUGACAAGAUAUUUGUUUACAUGGUUAUAUGCUUUGAUUACAUACUGGUUUACACUAGUUUAUAUUUGUUUACAUAUAUUUACUCGUUUGAUACUAGUUUACAUGGAAUAGUUUAUAAUCUAUAUAUGAUUAAUUUUAGUUAUACAUUUGUUGAACUGUUUAUCUAUUGGCACCAUAUAUUUGUAAAGUUUACAUCUAUUAGCAAGAUAGUAAAAUUUACAUCUAUUUAGCAUAUUAACACUUGGAUGGCAUGGCUUCAACUGUGUAUAUAUGUGUCCUCGAUCAUUGAUAUGCUUAGUAGUACGGGUUUGGAAGUAAGCCAUACAUCCAAAGCAGGGAAAUGGGAUAAUAAACCUUCAAGUAGUCGUGCUCAUGACUAUUGACAAGUUUUAUUUGAUUUUGGUUGGUGGCCCUUUUUUAUAUUUGAAAAAAAGAACAGCAUUUGCCUUUAGCAAGAUGAUGAUGAUGAAGACACAUUAUAUUAUAUAUAUCAGUCAUGAGCAUGUCAUGCCACAGAUUACAUUAUGGACACUGAAAGUAAUACUAUGUUCAGACAUCAGAGCCUCAUGACCAUCACCUUGCCGACCAAGUAACCAGUUCAUAGUUCACACUCACCAUCUAUUGUGCUGCCUAGUUGUAUGUUGUGUGUCAUGCCUUGGUGUAAAUCGAAAAUUCUUAUGUAGAAUCUUUGCGUACAAUAUAUGGUGUGGAUAUCAUAUUAUCAUCAGUACUAGUAGUGGUUUCUAGUGUAACAGUUUCAUCUUAAAGUAUAUAAAUCUCUAUAAUAUAUGAUUAAUUUUAGUUAUACAUUUGUUGAAUUGUUUAUCUAUUUGUAACUUUAGUUAAUAUUUUAGAAGAUACAUUGCUUUGUAUGUGUAAAGUAUGUGGACAGAAGAAGAGCGUAAGUUAGCCGCGGCCAAUUUUUUCAUGAUUAUAAUCCAAUGGGUCAUGAUGUAUCGUUGGACUAGAGUGAGGAGAGCAAUGAGACUUCCUAGGGCUCCUUAUACUAAUAAUGAUGCCCUAUGGACUGAAGUACUGCGUAAGUUGUAUGGUGAUACAGAUACAGCAUGCCAUGCCCAACUUAGAAUGCGCAUAGCUCCAUUUGGUCGUUUAUGUGAUCGAUUGCGCCUUCAUGGUCUUCAAGAUAGUAAAUAUGUGUCAGUCAAGGAGCAAGUUGCAUACUUCCUAUUAACUGUUGGGCAUGAUUGGCGCAAUCGAGGUGUUUUGCAUAAAGUUCAUAGGUCGGGGCAAACGGUCAGCUUCUACUUUCACAGAGUUUUGAAAGCCUUACUUAGUCUAUACGGAGAAGUUGUGGUCCCCCCUACACAACACAAUGGUCCUCAUGAAUCCCAAUAUGAACGAAAUUAUGAACAUUACUUUAAGGUUAAUAUCCUGACCUAGUUAUUUCCACAUAUUAAUAGAGAUGUUUAAUUGUGAUAAAAUAUGUUUUUUGUUUUUUUUUUGUUUUUUGAACUUAGGAUGCCAUUGGCGCAAUCGAUGGAGCCCACUUUGAGACUAAUGUUCCUUCGUCAGACCAAGGUAGAUAUCGUAAUAGAAAAAAAUUAAUUACCCAAAAUGUCUUGGUAGCUUGCACAUUCGACUUGCGGUUCAUGUAUGUUUUAGUCGGUUGGGAAGGGUCUGCACAUGACGGUAGAGUUCUAAGAUGUGCUGUGAGCCGCGUAGGCCGUCGUUUGACCAUAACACAGGGUACAAUACCUUAGGCUCAUUAUAUUAUUAUAAUUGUUCGUACCUAUAUUUAAAAGUGGGCCUAAUGUAGAAGUAUUUGUAUAGGAAAAUAUUAUUUGGCUGAUGCUGGAUACUGACAUGUGCCCGGUUUCAUGACUCCAUACCGAAGAACUCGAUACCAUAGACGUGAACAAGAAAACUAUACCCCUCAAACUAGAAAAGAAUUAUAUAACUUCCGUCAUUCAUCACUACGCAAUGUUGUCGAGCGGAUAAUUGGUGUAUUGAAGAAACGGUUCGCAUAUCUUCGUCAUGCACCAUUUCAUGAUGCUCGAACUCACACAAAGAUUAUAUAUGCAUGUGUUGCUUUGCAUAAUUGGUUACGCCUUGAUGACCCUGAUGAUGAUAUGGAGGUUGCUAACAUAGAUUUGGGACCUGAUUCGGAUGAUGAAGAUGGUGAACCAGGAGAGGUUAAUGUGCCUAAUUAUGAGCAUCUUGUGAUGGCCCCCACUAAUCAGUGGACUGCUGUCAGAGAUGACUUGGCUGCACUCAUGUGGCUUGAGGAUGGCAAUUAGUUGCCACCUUUUUUUGUGUGUUAUUUAAAAAGAAAACUGUUUUCACUUUGUAUUAUGUAUUGGCAGUUGAGAAUUGUUUACUUGCUUGUUAAAGCCUAAUGUGGUAUUAAACUCAGAUGUUUUUACUAUGAUUUGAAUGAUUGUUCCAAUUUAAAAUCCAUAGUUACUUGUCAAAAUGUCUGCAAUAUUCUUGUCAUCAAUGCUAGCCAAUUUUGUAUGGUUUGUGUGUAUGCAUUGUUAUCAUCGUAGGCAUUGUUGUUCAUUUCUUUGGUAUUUUAUACCAUGCAUAUUAUAGGAAUGGCGCACCCCCAGGGUUGGAAACAAAUUAGGUGGACUGAAGAGAUGGAUUCCAUCUUGAUUAGGGUACUUUAUGAUGAAGCUUUGUCUGGUAAUAGAAGGUCUGAUAAUGGUUGGAAGCCUGAGGCUAUCAAACAUGUUGUGGACGCUGUGGUUGCCCAUUAUGGGUAUGCUUUGAUGGCUAAACAUGUGUGCGGCAGGCUGAAAACCAUGAAAAAAGAGUAUGGUGCUGCUAAAGAAGCUUUGGAUUUGUCAGGUUUUACCUUUAACAAUGAGACUAAUCUCAUUGAAGGUGAUGAAACUGCUUGGAGUGAUUAUUUGCGGGUACUUUCUUUCAAUCCUUUUCUAGUCCUAGCCAUUUUGAUAAGUUUGCCAUCUGUGUGGUCCAUUGUAUAAGACCAAACUAUUUAUUGGGUUAUCACCGUGUUUAGGAUUAUCCCAAGGCAUCAUAUCUGCGCAACAAGAUGUUGCCCCAUUAUGAAGAGAUGGUAAUCAUUUUUGGCAAAGAUGUUGCCACUGGGGGACUCCACUUUGAACCUGGUGAUGACAUUGAACUUGAUGACAACAUGGAGGAUGUGAACCAGUCACCUUGCCAAGGUGAUGCCAAUCUGAUUGGUUAGUUUUAUUUUUAUUUUUUUAUCCUUUAAAAUGUUUAUUCAACACUCAUAUGUUUGGUAACUAAUAUAUAGUUUCCAAAUUGUAGAUGAGAUUGAUUCAACAUUUGAGGAGGAUGAACCUAUGCUCAAUCCUAUUGGUGGAGACACCUUUAGUGGAGUUGAUGGAGCUGGUAGGCGUGUCCAAGCAGAAGACUCUGGUACUUCAGCUGCAUCGGGAGCGAGGAAUGGGCGUAAUAGGAGGGCGACAAGUGCUGGUCCUCAUAGUAGGCGUACCAGGUCAAGGUUUGCUAGUAAUAGUGAAGAUGCUGAGAUCAGGGAGUCAUUCAAGUUGUUGGCUGAAGCUGCCAAAGACAUAGCUAGUUCAUUUAGGUCUCCUAACUAUAUGAAGCUAGAUGAGGCUAUGAGAGAUAUACCUGACUUGUCUGAGGAGGACAUCUAUGCUGCCAUGGAGAUGUUUUCUAACUCCAAGGAAGUUGCUGGGGUUUUCUUUGGGUUGUCUGAAGUGGCUAGAGUUGAAUGGCUGCACAGGAAACUUUCCUUUACACACUAUGACUGACAAUGUUCUUGACUAAUCUGUGUCGUUGAUUGUGUGGAGUCUUUAUCUGUUGUACUAAGCCUACUUGUUAUGUUAUGUAUUAUGUAGUUUACAGACUAUGAUUGCUUGUUAUAUGAAACUAACAAAUGGUCCAAAUUUGAAUUCAAUUCAUGUUUGCCAAUCCUAGAACCAUUCAUGUUGUGUGACCAACCUAAUUGUGUUGGUAUGUUAAAACUCCACACUGGAAUGGGGAAUACAAGUAACAAAUGGAUAUCUUUUGCAAAGUGUUCAUUUCAAUCGUAUCCUGGAAUCAGAUUUCUUCAUCCAUUUGUUAACCCUCCUACUUCUAGCGAUAACGAGUUGAUUUGCGUGAAAUGCCUUCAAUACCCUUGUUAUGGAGAUUGCUCAAAUUGGUGGUUACACCAUGUGGAGCCACCUGAAGAUAUAAUGUGUUUGCAUUGCUUGGGUGAUCCUUGUAUGUGGGAUUGUGUUAAUGAUUGUGAUUGUUGUAGUCGUGAUAUCGAUUAGUUUCAUGUAUUGUAUAAACUUUGUGUAAACUUGUGGAACAACUAAUUAGGCUUAUUGUAUGUUUAAUAUUUAUCUUGGUAUGAAACAGUUUUGGUAUGGAUAUACCUUGGUCAGCCUCUCAUAGGUCCAUUAGGUGGACCACCGCAAUGGAUAUGAAUAUGUGUGCUAAAUUAUUAGAGAUUACCAUAAAUGGGGGUCGUAGUUCGGAUGAAAGAUUUAAUAAGAGUGCACACUCUGAAGCUGCAGAUGAGAUAAAUAAAUACUUACGAAUUGAAGUAACAACUGAACAAGUUAGGGGUCGCAUGAAGACUUUGAAGAAGACCACAAAAAAAAUAGAAGAAUUAUGUUUGAGGCCUGAAUUUGUAUUUGAUCUUCUAGAAUGCAAAAUCAAUGCCAGUGAGGAAGCACGGGCUGAGCUAUUACAACCACCAAAUCAUAUCCAUUGGAUUGGUCUGAAGAAUUAAGACUUUUCCGGCACACACCAUGUGCAUCCACCUAUUCGCUCCAAUGCCACCACCUAUGCUAUGAUGUCAAUCUGUUCAGAGUAAUCCAAACUCAAAUUGGAAUGUUUUAUGUUGGAUUUAUGGAUUGUGUAAUAUUGGAUGAAUUAUUGUUUGAUGUACUCUUUUGUGUUAUUUUGAUGGAGCUCAAAUUAUUGUAAUCUUUGAGCUAUUAUGCAUUCAAUUGGAUUUAAUGAUUGUUCCGUAUUUUUUUGAAUUAUUUAUUGUACUUAUAUAUGUUAUUUAAAUAUAAAUAGGUCAAAAAAUGGAUAUUUGCCCAUACAAUCACAUGAGGCUUACCUGGACAAAGGAUGUGUCCAAGGGUCACGUCACCAAAGGGUGUAUCAUGGUCAGUACAAAUAGCAUUUACUUCAUGUAUGAAUUUUCUUAAAUAAAUAUAUUGUAGUAUAUUUUCAAUUAUUUCUAACACGUGUUUAUUUAUAAUAGUAGAAAGUUCCUGCUAAUAUCAAGAUACUAGUUGAGGGCACUGUUUCUGUUGUCCUAUGGGUCGCUCGACAGAAAAGAUAUGAGGUGGAAUUAGUGGAUGAUAAGAGCGACUUUUUAUAUUUUCGUCACUCUGAGUGGAAGGCAUUUGUGAAGGCUACACAUUUAGCUAAAAGAGAUAGUAUAAGGUUUGAGUUUCAUAACAGGGUGAACAAUGUCCUCAUGUUUAUUGUGCAGAUUAGGCACACUGACCCAAAUGUAACAGAUCUAGUUUGUGCUACAAAACCGUCUGCAAGAAGGACUUACCCUGCUGGUUGUGGUAGCUCUGGUCAUAGUACUCCUGCGAACAUUGAUGAAUAUCUAGAUGAGAGCGAAACUGAUGAGUAGUUGUACCUUUGUUAGUGGUCAGAUUAGUAUUUCGAAAAUAUUUUGUACUUUUGUUUUGGUUUAAUGCUAUUGUUGGAGUUAUUUAGUAUUGUAAAACCUAUGUUGUUUAAAUAUUGUAUUUUUAUGUUAAGUUGAAAUAUUGUUGGACUUAUUUUGUUGAAGCCAUGGUAUUUUUUUGUUGAACCAUACAAUGGGUUUUUGUUGAAAUAUUGUUUGAUUUAUUUUAUAAAAAUGCCAAAACUAUUUACUUGUUAUCGGACCUAUUUUACUAUCUUGUGGAUAUAUGAAAAUAAAAAAAAAUUCAUGGGCUUCCAUGGACCCAAUGCUACCUCGGACCUAUUUUACUCUUGUGGAUAUAGGAAAAUACAAAAUAAGGUUCAUGGGCUUCUAUGGACUCAAUGCUACAUAAUAAGGUUCAUGGGCUUCAACAUAUUUUCCCAAUAGUAAGGAUUAGAUUUCUCAUUGCAAUCAAACAAAACAAGUGGGAAUUUAACUUAAAACAGUUGGAAUUCAAUAAUUUUCUCAUUGCAAUCAAACAAAACAAGUGAGAAAAUAGUGAGAAAAUAAUUAGAAUUCCCACUAUCAAUCAAACACUAUAUUUGUGCAGAGUGAGAAUGACUUAAAACAUUUUCUUACUUAAGUGUGAAAAUAUUUUAAGUCAUUCCCACUUAAGUGGGAAAACUAUCUUUAAGUCAUUCUGACUCUCGUAUUUUCUCACUCCGCAAUCAAACGCAGCCUAAGGGGAGGGGGGGGGGGUAAGAAUGUUUUCCUACUGUUUAAAGAAAAUAGCUAUACGGUGAGAAAAUACGAUUUUCUUUUCUCAUUGUUAAAGUUAACAAUCAAACAGCUAAAUAAUGCCCCUUUUCCACUGGUCCACUGAGAAAACACAUAAGUUUUCUCAUUACAUUGGGGAAAUGCUUGUAAUCAAACACACCCUUAGAAAGAAAUUAGAGUUACAGAAGGAAAGAAAAGGAAAGAAGAAGAUAGAGGAAUUGUAAUAAGAGUGUAUUCAUUUCAUAGUUGCCUUUUCUUACAAUAUCUUGUACAAUUUAUAGUUCCUACAAUUCCCUAACUAGGGUUAACACCUCCAUCACUUUAGUAUUGGACUGGAUAUGACAAUGGAUAGUAAUAUUGGGCCUAAACCUAUAUUGGAUGGCUUGGAUCUGACAAAUCUAUUCUCUCUCCUUCGUCUUUAUCUAAGCUAUUUUUAUUCUCCCUCUUGAUUCCGAUUGAAGGCGUGUAAUACGAAAAAUCUCUAUGUAUAUCGGAUCCGAAUUUUUAAUGGAUCGGUUUUUCCAGCUUUUUAGUAUGAAAGAAGCCCAAUCAAGUGGACCAUGGAGUCCAUUACCUAAUUCUUUGGUUGUGCUUGUUUCCCCGGAAGUUUUGGGAAAUGAAACCUUUAUGAAUGGAAAAAAUUGUAAACAGUUUCUUUUUUUUUUAUUUUGCAAAAACUUUUCACUGUGUUUGGUUGUUAAAUAAGGAAAGUUUCGGAUUCCUGCAAACAACCUUACAUAUACCUAAAAUUACACCUAUACCAUUUUUUAAUAAAAUAAAUAAACAAUUUUAAUUAAAUUCAUAAUUACAUGAUUAUCAUAAUUGAGGAUCACAUAUUCAUUUGGACGUAGAAACCAAAGACAGACCCCACAUGUUCAUGAUAAGUCCAUCAAAGUACAGUAGUAACAUUCUAAAAGUGUUGUUGGGCUACCAAAGAAAAAGCAGUUGGCAUAUUAACAUAUACAUCAAUAGAAUCAAAAGCCUUCAAAAAUCGCCUUCGUGUGAAAUUUUACAUUUCACAAGUAAAAAUUACAUCAAAAUUGCAAUGUCUUUCUAACCAAAUAAAAUUACAAAAACGUAUAAUAUGUCGUUACAAUUUUUGAAGUGAUCAAACAUCUUGCGAGCUAUUCCAUCCCUAAAUUCAGCUCAUUUUGCCUUUUGGAUUGAAUGCGGCAUAGGGGGUGCAUCAUCACUACUUUCAUCAAUUAGAGCUUCGUCAAGUUCUUUGUCGACUUCAUCUUAAAUUGGAUCAUAUGCUCAAGCCCCCUAAGAGCAUUCCCAAUAGUAGGUUUUAGCACACAUUUAGUAAACUUUUAGUGAAAACAUUUGCCAAUGGUAGUUUUUAACACACUUUUCAAGCAACACUUUUUAACUCCUUAGCAAAUUUGCAAAGUAGUUAAAAGUGCCACGUAGGAAUCCAUCCGCCACAAUUAGUGCGGUAUGGAUUCAUGCCCCACAAUUAAUGCGGUAUGGACUCAUCUAAAGGAAGACUCAUCCGCCACAAUUAGUGUGGUAUGGAUCCAUCCGCUACAAUGAGUAGGGUAUGGAUCUAUACCCCACAUAGAUUGUGGUUUCAAUAAUCCACCAUUGGAAACACUAAAACCUUUUUUUUUUUUUGGCUAAAACCAUUAGAAAUACCAAAAUUCCUUAAAACCAUCCUAUGUGGCACCACUAUAAGUGUUUUACCAUUGAGAAUGCUGUAAUAUGGUUAUGAAGUAUGAAACAAGCUAAAACUAUUUUCACUUGUAUCUUGUAUGGAUAAAAAGAUUGUGUAGAUAACAUAGGCCACCGAUUCUUCAAUACUCCAAACGCUUUUUAAGUGAAUGUCUAUUGUUGAAUAACUCCUUCCCAUUUUGUGGAAUACGAUCUUCAUGCUCACUUACAUGAUAGAGAGUACGACGAUAGGGGGGAAGAAAACCGAGUUGAUUUGUAUAACCCGCAUCCACAAGGUAAUAUCUACCUACAAGUGACAUUUUUGUAUGAUAUAAAUUAGCAAAUUCAUUUAAGGUUCUAAUGAAUACUAAGUAAGACUUCAACAUAAUUAGUGUUACCUGAAGGGACAACAAAUGGGUUUGCUUGCGCAAGGGCAUCAUCGAACACUCUUUGAUCAUGUGUCGUCCCUUCCCAACCAGCAAGAACAUACGUAAAUUUCAAAUCAAACGAGCAAGCUGCUAACACAUUUUGUGUAGUAAUCAAUUUUCUUCCUCUGAACCGAUCUUGUUCUUACAUAGGUGCACUAGCAGUGACGUGCGUCCCAUCCAACGCCCCAAGACAACCAUUUAGAACCCAAACAAAAUUAUAAAUAUAUUUUUCUAGAGAAAAAAGUUUUAUUAUACUAGUGUGGUACUAUUAUUACUUAAAAUACUCCAUGUAAUGCGGAUCAUUUGUAAUUUCUGGAGGGUUCCUGAACCAUGUACUAGUUGUAGGUGAUCAGCGAUUAAAGGUUUAUACAAUUUGAGUACGCACUUCAAAAUCUCAUUGAAUUGACGACUAAUUGUUUCUCUAGACCGAUAAAACCUUCCUCGAGUACUCUGUUCCUAACAUUGUGGCCAAUCAUAUGAAGAAACCGCAUCACCAUUUCCUCCAAAGUACAAUUAUUGCUAUCUGUUAUCGCUUACAACUCCUUGUGCUCUAAUUAAAAAGCACAACUGAUGAAAAGAUUGUAUUCCAUUCGUAAAUUAUGACGACACUUGUCAUCGGUCUCUAAUAUUGAAUUCAUGUAACUUCUCCUUUCGUCAUUUCUAUCGAUUCGAGGUUCUAAAGGUAUGUUAAGUGUUAGAUAAGCAGUAGUGCUAGCGUUAGCAGCAGCUGCAUGGGCUGCAACAACUACAGCUACUUUUCUUUUUCGUUCUUGUUCAUCACCUUCCAUCUACAAACAUGAAAACAUAGAAAGGUACCAUCACUGUAGGGGUACUACAUACUCCGACCAAUCAAAAGCAGCCACGUGGCACAGUCAUCCAUCCGUCAGGUCGCCACGCACUCGCAGCUCGACUAAAGCGACCAGACUACGCAACGACCAGCGACCUGCUAUUCACACGUGCUCCUAUUCAAUGCACAGAAUAUUCUCAUCAGUUACAGAAUUAAUUCACAGGGAUGAUCCUCGCGCGUUACACAUUUAAUCAUCAUUAUGAUGGCGGAGAAUCUGCAAGAUCCACGAUCCACGCCCUUCCAUCUUCUAUAUAAACAGAACUACGAUGGCUUGAUCUCUAAGUUCAAUUCCCCCGAGCUAGAGUACGUAGGCAAUCUCGAUCUCAACGAGGUGCAGCCACCCCAAUCUCCAAUAUCCCCAUUUGGUCAAGUCUCCAUAACGACCUGACCCUGUUGAUGCAUUAAUCUAGAAAUAGGUUAAUACAAUCACAAAGCGUAUUCCGCGACUUCAGCUCCCAAGUCCCAAUGAAGGAAGUUCAUCUAUUUUUGCAUAGCAAUGUUAUCAUCAGUUCAUCACUACCUUCCCACUCUGGAUUUGUGCUCCUAUUUUCUUCAAUUUGAGAAGAAGUUAAAACAUACAGUACCUCUGCCGUACUUUAUGAUAGUACAUACAAGUAAGUCGAAAUUGCUUUUAAAAAUAUCAUAUUCGAACUAAAAGGAUGGAAUAAGCAUGCUUUCAGCCACACCUAUACAAAUCUGGUAGGGGAGGCUUGUAGAAUAGACUUUUAUUAAUAAUGGUCUCUUGUACAUAGAGCUAAACAAGUGGGUACCCAAUAUCUCAUACUAAAAACUCAUAUGAAAAAGAUACCAUAAAUAAACAGCUGGAAUUAUAUACAAACAAAGAUUUGUUAACUACAAGUUACAAUACUAUGCUCCUAGGAAUAAGUUUCAGCACUAGCCAAGUUCAUCAGAUUACCAUCAGAUAACAAGUCUUCAUCAAUGUCGUUACUACAGCCAGCCAGCCAGCCGUUACAUUCACCAACAAGAAAACCAUGAUUGUAUUUCAAUUACUGCAGACUUGUUAAGAUCACCAACAACAAGAAUCUAUGCUGCUACAUACCUAUUGUAUUUCAAAGCUUACUAGCACCAACCACAAACUACAACAAACGAAACCAAUAUUCUGCAAAUGAGCUGCAAAAAACCAGAGUCGAGCACUGUCCAUAGAUCAAUCACCAAUUGCUAGUUGUUGCUAAAUUAAGACUUAGGGUUUUGGUUCUCCUAAUAAUAAUGCAUUUAUGUCUGGCUUUGACCCUCCUAAUCCAUCCCAAUUUCACAUACAAAUUUUUUGUGCUUGCACACGUGCAAGUUGUAACUUAAGGUAACAGGUGUGAGUAUGUGACAUCCCUAGAUGAUCAAACAUUCAAACCUAACACUUCUCCAAUCACACAGUCUGUAUUUCAACACACAAAUCUCAUUGUAAAAUGGGACAAAGGACUAAACACUAACUAUACACAGAAGUGCAUCAGACCACAUCAGGAAGUCCAUUCCUUGGAAUCGGAUGGUCACCCAAAUUCAAUCCAAUUGACCCGUGUUCUAUUAUAGCUAAGGAACCUAGCUAAAGCCAGCAACUCAAGGGAUAUGAAAAGCUCCCAGGCAUUAAGCCUUCAUAACCUGCUGCUGUCGUUAAGCACUUUUUGUUGAAGGGUGUUGAUGUUCUACUGCAUCUGAGUAAAAUGUCAUAGUAUAUGCUUCCAACCGAGAUUUAUUAGUGAACCAACUCAUUUGUCCGGAUGUCAUAAUGUAUGAUUCCAACCUAGAUCUAUAAGUGAACCAACUCAUCUGUCCGGUUUCUCUGUGUAAGGAAAAGCCUAUUUGUUGCAACCUACACUGCAUACAUUUAUUUAUAAUGUUGUGCUAAAAAUCUAAACUCUUUAUAUAAUUCAUUUUGAUGUUUUGUUGAGAUCCAACCCUUUCCAAAUGUCAAAGGAUUAAACCUUUUACAUAUUUGGUUGGUAGACAAGAAAUUUACAAAGUAAAUAACAAAAAGUCUUCCAAGAUAUUCUUCUCUAGUCCUCUCCUAUUUUUUUUUUAGCCAAACCAAACUUUAUUUAAAAACCAAAAAUUUGUUCAAAACAAAGAGUUUACAGAGUAACUAAGGCGUGCCAGUUCAUGGGCGGGAGCUGUUAACUUCCUUGGUAGAUAACAAAAAGGGAGUAGUUCAACGCGUAUGUAAGCACACUUGUAGAAGACUCGAUACCUUUGCAAGUAGCAACUAUAUUUAGAUUAUCACUGCAGAUGACGACAUUCUUCCAUCCCAUAUCAAUACCCAAAGACAAACCACUUUUUAUAGCUAGUGCUUCAGUAUGUUCAGGGUCCCGGCCAUUUACUCUCUCUCCUCCUGCAAGAACAAAAUUGUCAGGCCAUGAGAACAGUACGUAACCUACAUAGCUUUCAUGUAAAUCUUGCAAGUUCCAACCAAACGAACCAUCCAUAAUAAUAACAAGAAAAUCCUGUCUAACAGAAGGCGGGAUAGAAAAUUCAGUACGAAGAGAUUCCUUUGAGUUGGUGUUUACACGUAACAGAGACUGGUUUGCUUGACAUAAGAGAUGACUCGGAUUCAGAUUGUAUUCAGAGUCAUUAAAUACUCACUGAUUUGGAUUCAUCCAAAUAAAAUAACAAAUACAAGCUAAGAGACUAAUCGGAUCUACACAUUUCUUUCCAAUAGAAGUAGUCAUAUGAGUAAGAACAUCACAUAUGUCAGAGUAGUCUUGCCAGUACUCUGGUCUGAGACUUAAAUUGGAAGCAAACCAUAUGCACUGAAUAUUAUUACAAGUAAAAAGAGCAUGCAAGGCAGUUUCCGAGUGUGUAUGACAACAAGGACUAGAUCAUCAGAACAAAUAUUUUUACGAAACAAUAAAGAUCUAGUAGGAAUGGCAUUAUGCAAUAACUUCCAAACAAAAAGUUUUAUUCUGGUCAUCAUCUGAUUGUUGAUUAUGCUAGUACUUCUUACUCUAGUCCUCUCCUAUGUUCAAACAGAGAAACUUCAGUAUGAUGACCAGAAAUUGAAGAAUAGAGCUCUUCCACUCAUUAACUUCCGCUCUCUUCAAUCAUACAUCAUACGGAUUUUUCUUCUUCAUCGUGACUCAGAUGUAAUGAGAUCAUCAUAUUUUUCCCUCUUUAUCAAAUAUCAAUCAAAACUUACCAUGAACUAAAUGUACAUCAAAGAUCUGACACUGAAAACUUACGAUCAAACAAGGGUUUCAAAAUCAUACCCCAUGUUACACUAUCAACCAAUGACUCCAAAUCUGGUGUUUUAGUGCUCCAGAUCACAAUAGAACAUUGAUCUAAAGAUUCGAUUAUUUCUAUUCUUCUAUGUCCCACCUUUUUAUUGCUUGAAUAAUUCAGCAAAAACAUGUUGGAACAAGAAGGGUUGCAGAUUUGAUGUAGUCAAGUUUCAGAGAACGAUUUUAAAUUAUAAACCUGACACACUGGUGUUUAAGUGGUUUUGGGAAAAACUACACCUCAAUUUCAGAAAACAAUAUUCCUGAAACUGAAAACCAAAGCAUAAAAGUGCAUACAUUGUUAGUUUGUUAAUUCCAAUUUGCAUUUUAGAACUUUUGAGAGAGAAAGAUCUUGUUCAUCCAAAUCCCGAGCUCUCUAUUUCCGGUACAUGUUCCUUGAGUCUUUCACUUCUAUUGUUCAAUUUAGGUCUGUUUUUUUUUUUAUUUUUUUAUUUUGAAAUUUUAAUUUAUUCAUUGACACAAAGUUAUAACAACGGCUAUAUUAAGAAGGACACUAACAGCAAUUAGGAAGGAACUAACGUGACUCGAGUCCCCUAACUACCCAGUUCAAUCACCAUUUACCAGGCACAUGUGCAGAGGCUAGAGGCCUGAUUCGUUCAUGUGAGAUAAUCUGUCCCUAAUCUCGCAAAGCUUCUCUCUCACUCUGAAGCCUUACAAACUCUUCAUCGUCCUCUUCGUCUUCCCAGAUAUCAUCAAAGAAAUUUGGCUCAUCUCUCUCAAAAAACUCCUCCAUCAACGCCCUUCUAUCCCGCUUCUGCUUAUCAUGCAUAAUUUCAAAUCAAUCAAUCUUCUUGUGCAUCCUUCAACUCUGACUCCCCUUUCUUUCCCCAUCUCGAUUAUUUCUUCCCUGAUCUUAGUCUUGCUCUAACCUCCACUUUUAUUGAGACCUUCCUGACAUGCACUCAAGCUACCUGAGCAUUGCCCCACUACUGCAGCCUUGCCUUUCACUUGAUCACCUUGUUGUAAUGUCUAAUUUCAUCAAAACCAGGAUAGGAAACUUUUAAUUUAACCGAGUUACCACUAAGCAAUUAAAUGUUCUUCUUGUUUCUCUCCAAUUUCAUUGGUCUCCCGUCGUUAAAAUAGAUCUGUCAACUGUCGCUGAGUCCAGCAUAGCUCUAAAUGAACAUUUCAAAAAGGCAUCGGCCCCAUACUAAAAUUUACUGGGGAUCCAUUUCUACUAGAUCUCGCCUAAACUCUUGUUCUUUGUAAGGUGUACAGCUCUGAUGAGUAUUUUUGCCAUACAGACAAUGUUGAGUUCUGUCCUUGGUGUUCCUAAACGAAGCUAGUAAGGUACUGUGUUAAUAACACGCAGGCCCGUUUUCCUCCAAAGGUAUAUAAACUGAAUUUUGGUUUGUUUUGCAUUCUUGUGUGGUACACAUAUGGCUCUGGGUGAACAAUGAAGAAAAAGUUUAAGGGCAUAGCUGCAGAGCGUCAGAAAGUUUUUCUGUUCAUCAAUAAUAUUUUCUAUUUACAGUAUGAAAGAAAGGUUGUAAGAAGAACAUGUGAAGCAAUCAAAUAUGUUUACUAAAAAGAGGUAUACACAGUAAAAUAAAUUACAAAUUCUAUGUUAUUCAAAAUACUAUGUUUGAUACUUAACUUUAAGGAAUUGAAAGCAGUUAGAUACUCACCAGUAGGGACUUGGUAAAUACCAUUUAUCUACCUCCAUAGUUGCAAGACUUCGGGAAAAAGGAUAGACCAGAACCCCGCCCGAAGUUAUAGAUGUGUCAUUUGAUGCCCUGUACACACACACUCAAGCUUCUUGCUGUCUGGGUGGUAGCAAAAAAUCCCUAGAUUGUGUCCAAGGAAAACAAUAUCUGAAUUUGGAUGAAAGGCAUAGAGAGCUAACGACAACGGAUCACCAAAAAUACCAGAGGUUGGAUGUUCUGCAAAGUCUAGAAGAGAAAUUUUAUGUUUCAAGACCCACUCACUUCCAUUAAGCAUCCAAAUGAGAUUUUGGUAUGUUUUACAAUCAUGGAAAGCAUAAUGAAUAUGACCCUUGGACACCCAGAUACAGCCAAAAGGGUUCAUUAUUUGAGCAACUUCUGGAAGCCGGAUUCCUUGAGCACUCACUUGUUUAAUAUCAAACUUCAGAAUAUAACCCGAUAAUGACAAACAAUAAAGAGACCCAUCUAAGAAAACAUACCGCAAUAACACAGGUCCAAGCAUAGAAUCUUCCAAGUGUAACCCAUCUCUAUGUUCCGUCCAUUUCCAAGUCGCUUAAGAAUAGAUAAACAUUCUUAACGGUUUGCGUAAGAUAUAAACCACACCAAAGUGUGAGCCAAAAACCAAUGCGGCAGCACGUGGCCUUCUAUCGUCUGGUGAUGAAGGAAGACCAACACAUUGCUCUGUUGAUGGAUUGACGACAAAAAAUCGGUGAAAUGAACGAUCCCAUAUAAGUAAGAACCCAUUUGAGCUAUCAAAGAAAUCUUCGGGAAUAGGGGUAAAAGGUAACCUACAGAAAUAAGAUUGGAGAAAGGAGGAACUAUUGUUUGUCCCAGCUAAACAAACAAAAUUCAAGGCGGAUGUUGGACUUGUUCUUCUUUUAAUUUUGACAAAGAAUCCAGAAAGUGGACAUAAAACUUGUGGAAUACAGACAUCAGAAAUCAGUCUGUACCAUGAUUUUGAAACAGAUGUGCAUCUAAUCAUAUCCUUUGGGGGCAACCUACACAUGACCUCUGCCCAACCAUCAUCUGGUAAUAUGCAAUGACAUGCACAGGUUGUAGGACUACAAGUAAUACUAGCAAUUUUGUUAUUAAUACUACUAGUAUUACAAGAAGCAGUUGGGCCAAUAAUAGUUGCUUUUGAAGGGUGGUGUUGGUCUAGAAUAGAUCUUACUCUUCCAUCGAAAACGAAUACCAACUUUUUAGUGAACCAAGAGAAGAAGCAUGUGAAUAAUACUAGGGAUGACAAUAACACAACGCUGAUUGAGGGGCAAAUUCCGAUGCUUACAGGAAAAGGAAUCAGAAUGGUCACACGGAUCAUUCUGCUACAACUGCAGGAGAAGACUAAUGUGUUGAUUUGAUCAAUCUAUAUCACUCAAAAGAAGGGAAGCUCCUUAUACCACACUGAAGAUCAAUGUUAACUUAAAAAUGUGCAGCAAAGAGCAGGCGCCACCAAUGGUGCAGUAAUUCUGGAAACAUAGACUUCAUCUUUUCAUACAAACACACACGCCCAGAUUAAGGGUUAGGCAAAUAAUUCAACUCAUAUCACAUAUCAGUGAAAUUGACAAAUUUUUAAUUAUCUUAAGCAUAGAGAGACAACCCAACAAAGCUAAUUAUGGACUUAUCACCCAAAAAAACAAAAAAAAAAACCUUCUUUUCAUACAAACAUACCAAAAGGCAAAAACCAUGAAUUCGAUAAUAUCAGAAUCGAUUAAACAUCACGCAUUAGUAGAUUUUACCACAAAAAAAAAUCAAAAUUUUCCUAUAUGUCAGCUAAUUACAAACUCAUAAAACAUAAAAUCAUAAUCAAUUGAUGAAACUAACCUCAACAAGGAUAACAGGAUGAUGGUGGAAGCAGUUUUGAUAAAUUAAGGUUGGAAGAAAGAAUUCUCUUUGUCUUCGAUUUUGGGAAAUUUAAGGAAGAAGAAACACGAACUGGGCUGAAACUACUAAAUAUUUAAAUAAAUAACUGCCAUUAAAAUCAAAUUGGGCUUAAACUUAAGAUCCAUAUAUUAGGCCCGCCAACUUAGUCCAAUUCACUGUACAUAAUCGUCACUCGUCAGCAUAACGAUUACAUCUGAUUCCGAAAUGACGUGGACGAAAGACUACCUUCUUUUGAAAUUGAAAAGAAAACAAGCUCGAGUAGUGUGUUAGAGAGAGAGAGAGAGAGAGAGAGAGAGCAGAGUGAGAAUGUUGAAACUUUUCUGCAAUUCUCAAUUCCACGCAUUGAAUCGUAGAACAUUUUAUAAAACUUCUUCAAUUCCAAUUCUAAUUCAAUUCAAUACAUUCUCACAACCUCCAAAUUUUCUUCAAUUUUUCCCCAAUUCUGUUCCUCUUCUACCUUCAAGAAAUCUAUGUAUAAGAGCAUUUGAAUCAUCAUCAUCAUCUUCUUCUUCUUCAGAAUUGAAUUGAAAUGAUUGAAGUUUUACUAUUUGGAAUCGUGUUAGGCCUAAUUCCUAUUACUUUGGCUGGAUUAUUCGUAACUGCCCUAGUGGAGAAUUUGAGUAUAAACAAAUUACUGGAUGGAUAAGUUUUGUUGUCAAGUUGAAAAUGUUGCUUGCUUAUCCAUGGGAACGUGUUCGAAAAGGGAGUGUUUUGACAAUUAAGUUGCAAGGCCAGGUUUGAUUUUUGAUGAUUUUCAUUUACAGACGAAGUUGGGAUUAGUUUUUUGCGCAUUAUGUUGUUGUUGGUUUUUUUUUUUUUUUAUGCCUAAGUAAUGAAUGAUGUACAUUGUCGAUGACAUGCAUAGGAAUAUAGAUGGAGCUCACAUUGUAUCUGAUACACUUGCACUGCAAUCGAUAGCUUAAAUGUAACUGUUUGGAAUUUACAAGGAAUGUGUUAUCUUUUCUCUAGAUGGAGAAAGGGAUAUUCCUUCUUCAUAGUCAUAAGGGCACUAGUUACUGUCAUACACCUAGACCAUAUACAUGUUGAUUUUAUAAUGAAGGUCAUUUUCCUGAGCUAUUGGCACUACUUAGAUACCGCCUACCAGAGGGAUAGAUGAUAUUGGGUGGAAAUGUUAUGUGCCAUGUCAGCAUGUCCGUUUCAGCAAUCUCCCACCUGGAAGUAAUGUCAGAUAGACAUGUCACAGUCGUUUAGAUAAAAGGACUUUCUAUUCGACGGUCAAAGUGACUACUCAUUUAACAGUUGGUUUAGUUUACGAUUUUAUUAAUUUCGUUGCACUCCAUUAAAAUUUUCGGUUUUGAGUUUCAUCUCCCCAUUAAAUUCCACUAUUUUUUUUCGCAAACAUGUUUUUCGAAAUGCUUUUGAGAAUUUAAUCACUUGUUUGAAUCAUUACUAUAUUGCGAUGCAAAUUAAGUUAAAGAGCUGUUUCUUUUAUUUGCACUAGAUUUCUGAUCAGCUGAAGAGUCGUUUCUCUUCGGGGUUAUCACUGCCUCAACUAUGCGAAAAUCUUAUCAAGGCAGCGUAUGAUCCUCGUAUCUCUGGUGUAUAUCUUCAUAUAGAACCCUUAAACUGUGGGUGGGGAAAAGUUGAAGAAAUUCGAAGACAUAUAUUGGAUUUUAAGAAAUCAGGUAGCCUCGUAGUAUUCUUAAUUAAUUAUAUAUUAGUGUUUUACUUCCUCUUGUAGUGCUUGUAUAUGUCAGGAUAAAUUUCAUAUAGUGUCAAUCCUACCUGUCCUGCUUUUAAUGUUUAUCAACAGAAGAAUGACCUACAUGUAAAGGUGAACCUUGCAGUGAUCAUCUAUGUUGAUGUAUGAUACACAUACACUGCUGUACCAUGGAUCUUUCUUUCAGUCUUAAGGUGUUUCUGGGAGUUGUUAAAUAUUAAUGCAAAACUAGUUUAGUUUGUUUAUUGAUGGAGUUUUUUCAUUGAAAAUAUUUAGUUUAAUUGGAUUUUAUCCCUUUCAGCGUCUUCUUUUCUUUGUGAAGGCAAGUCUCUUCUACAUCUUAUAACUUGGACUGCGAUUACUGAAAAUAAAAUUUUAAGUGAUCCACGAGUCAAGUGUUUCUGUGAUGUCUUUUAUUCCUUUAAUGCAUGCUCAAGCAUUAUGUCUGUCUUUCGAGCCUUCAUACAUCUUCCCAGGCGAGGUUGUACAAAAAGGACAUGCAUACACAGAGAACACAUUCACAAAUUUUACUCCAAUUGUAAAAAUUAAAUAGAAGUAGUAAUUUUCAGGAUUCCUACCAUAUUGCUUCUUGCUCAUAAAAAGAGUAGCACCCAUGACUAGAGGUAUCAAUAGGUAAAUAGAAGUAAUCUUUUACAUGUGUCACACAACAUUCUUAAGAAACAUUGCUGCAACUUCUUAAGAAGCCUUGUUUCUUUCCUUGAGUGAAGUGUAAUGACAUUUCCUAUAUCUUGUUUUGUUCAGUUCUACUUUAUGUCGUCAUUGUCUUUCAAUAUGACAAUAUAAUGGAUCACUCGGAUGUGUCUUUACUUAUGUCGCCAUUGUCUUACAAAUUUUCUGUUUCUGUUUUGUUAUUUUUGCGGGGAGGGGGGGAUUGCGUUCUCAUCAUUUAUGGAAUGUCAGCAAUAGGUUCCAAAUAUGGAGCAAUUUAGAACAGUGGUUGUAAUGUGAUCUUUUAACAAAUAGAGGAUUAGGAGUUUUUAAUUAUUAAUUAGCUGUCUCGUUCUCUAUAAUUGCCUAAUUGGUGCCCAAUAAGUGUUGCUAGGAUCUUCACAUCAAAAUACCCUUACUUAUUAAAAACAAUGUUUACACUAAUCUGUUUCAUCAUCUCGUGAUACUAGUCAUCCCUGUGCUUACAUUCUUUUCUAAAUUUUCUCAGACUAAUAAUUCUGGUGCUUCUUUGCAGGAAAAUUCAUUGUGGCCUAUGUUCCUGCUUGCGGAGAGAAGGAAUACUACCUGGGCAGUGCUUGUGUAGAGUUAUAUGCUCCCCCCAGUGCAUAUUUUUCUUUGUAUGGUUUAACAGUUCAAGCAUCAUUUCUUGGUGGUAAGUUGCUUCACCUAAUCCUCCAUAGUUAGCUUACCAAAUCAAACAAAUACAUUGGUGUCUUGUUAUCCAUUUAUUAGGUAUGAUGUUUUGGGCAGAACAGUUCUAACUUUUUCAUCGUGUGUACAAUUAACGUUGCAUGCCUACUCUGAUUAAAAGCGUGAUCUGUGAAAUGCCACGUACCUCACCUUCUUAGUCCACUUCCUAAUAUCCAUCAUUAUGAUGUGUGAUGCAACAAGUUCUUUAACUGUUACCAGCAACAAGUGUAGUUUGCCACGCGGCGUGUCUAUUCUCUGCUCAUUUAUUAUCAGAGUUGCAUCCAUACAGCUUGACCCAGGCCACGGGAGAUCAUAAAGAUGCUGAUGUCUAUGUGAUAUUCUGCUGAGUAGAUGGUUGAUGGAUAUUCUUCUGGGUAGAUGGUUGAUGCUUAUGAAUCAUAUGUCCUGUGCUUAGAAGUUAUUCUGACAUGCCUUAGAAACCUAAGGCCACUCAAAGCAUGGUUUUAACAAGUUCGAAUUUUACAGUAAAGAAAAGUAUAUACAAAAUGUUGAUUUAGAUUUAUAAAGACUUGAUUUACCAUGUAACUAGUGCUCCCUUUUGUUUUUAUGAGUAAAAACUAAAAUGUAGCCAUUGAUAUAAUUGGGAAGCUAGUACAUUGUGAAAUUAUCCAUAUACUAGUCAGCAAGAAGCUGAGCAAAGUCUAGAAAUUUAUAAACAUCAUCUUAACUGAAUACCCUAACUCAUGAUUACAUCUAUUGCCACUAACUCUGGACAGCCUAUACAGACUACUCUCUCAUUUGUUCUUCUAUUUCAGUGUCCUUGUUGUCCUUUUCAAUUAGUUGUACUUUUCGUCCUUUAUGUGCAAACUUACAGCUUCAAUGCAACAUGUUGUGUAGGUAUCUUUGAGAAAGUAGGAAUUGAACCACAAGUGCAGAGAAUAGGUAAGUAUAAAAGUGCUGGUGAUCAACUUACUCGUAAAAACAUGUCACAAGAAAACUGCGAGAUGCUUACUGCAUUGCUUGAUAAUAUCUACGGGAAUUGGUUGGACAAUGUUGCUUCUACUAAAGGUGCGAUUUGAAUUGCUUUUCCUUUUUAUUGAUGUGGCUUGCAUUAGUGAGAUAUGAUGUUAUUAUCCUCAUUUUUACUGUUUAUCCAUUCCAGGAAAGAAAAGAGAAGAAGUUGAGAACUUCGUAAAUGAAGGAGUUUACCAAGUUGAAAGGUUGAAGGAAGAAGGUUAUAUAACAGACAUACUUUACGAUGAUGAGGUAUAAAUCCCGUCGAGGUUAUUUAGUUAUAUAUCUUAUGCAUAAGGUAAAUGCCAGAAAUAGAAUACUGUACAAGCGUUGUUCAUAGUAUGUGUUAGAAUUAUGGUGUUUGGUUGUUACAAUAUACCAAAACCUGAAAUAGUGGAAAAUUGACCUUACAAAAACUGAUAGCAACCCAUACAGAGUAGAAUUGUAAGUUACUUCUGUUUUUGUUCAUUAGAGCCAUAAGGUUCAUUUCAUUGCUCAAGCCACAAAUAACUUCCUAUAGUAAAUCUUCCAUAUUACCAUUUACUUUUCUCAAUGUUGAAGGCUUAUUGGUUAAUUACUGCAAUGAGCCAAUGAGGAGCAUAACUACAGUGACCAGUUAGUGUUGCUUCCAAAUAAGUAAUGUAAAUUUCUUUAUCCUUGACUCAGAUUGAAGUUGAUGGGAAUUACUAAUAAUAUCAUAAAGUAUGCAGGUUAUUGAUCUCCUUAAGAAAAGAUUGGGACAAAAAAGUGAGAAAAAACUUCUGACGGUUGAUUACAGGUAGAACUUUUUUGCUUGCAACUAGUAAUAUAACACAAGUUAACAACUUAUCUAUAGCUGUCAUUAAGGAAUGCUGUCAGCUAUAAUGUAUUCACUUUACUAUUUUAUUUCUAUAGAGUUGUGCUAAAAUUCUGGAUAUCAUAGUUUUUGUACUCUUUACUAUGUUUUGAAUAAAUUGUAGUGGCGUGUGUUUUUUGUUAUUGUUGUUGAUAAUUUAGUAUUUCGUUUUUUAGUGUCUGCAUCAUGUAGAAUGGGAUCAUAUAUUUGAAUAGUGAAGUAGUUAUCUAGCCCAUUCUCAAAUGCAAGAAUUGAGAAGAUUAUCCUUUUUGUGUGUUGGUGUUUUCUCUGUGUUUUUUUAUUGGACAAUUGUAAAAUGUUGUUUAAACUGAGGGAAGCCUACUCGAAAAAGCUCUCUACCCAAAGGUUUGACCUGGGGUGGACUCAUUUGUAUCAUAUAUUUAAUAUAUAUGAACAAAUAAGCUUUUUUUGUCCCAGUUGAAUAAGAUAUCAACUCUACAAGUUUUUUCGGAUAAUAUUUGUGUCUUUCAUUCCCUCCUUCACUAUCAACUUUCUUUAUUUUAGUGAGGAUGUGUUGGUUAUGACAGAGACUGUUAGAACUUGCCUAUUCUGUAGAAUUUUAGGUGGUCCUUGUUCAAGUGUGUGCUUGGAGAAAUACGAGACAUCCGGUAGGGUGCGAAUUGCUGAUAACAAUGGAGAUCAUCAUUGAUCUUAGGCAAGGUUGCACGGACUCGGCGACACGUGUCCAAGCCGUGUCCGUCUCCGCGCAGUGGCCGACACUGACACAGUGAAUUUGUAGAAGUGUUCGUGCUUCCUAGUUCUUAGGGUAGUGAACUAUAGGUGCGCACAGCAGCACAGGGCAUGCGAGAAAUUCUAUUGGCGUCUUGGUAGCUUGCCUUUUAUUGGAUAAUAUAGGCGAUUAUUGUUACAAGGUUUGUAAAAUUUAGUUUCUGCUGAUGACUAUAUGGGGUUUUCUUGAUGUAUUGUUCAACUUUAUAGCAAUAAUUUGUCGUAUCAAGAUUAUACGAAAAAAAAAUUUGCUCCCUUUUUCCUUUUAUUUUCUUGCUUCUAUCAUACUAUAGACAAUAUUGUAAUAUACAUAAGAAAAAAUGGGCAUCCAAACUUUAUUGACAGCCUUCCCAUGUUUGCACUCUAGCUUUUCGGAGCAUGUGGUUUUGCAGGCUUAUAUUUCCGGUUUUUUUUUCCGUGUCUGUGUGUAAGUAGGUUUUCAUACUUUUAUUAAUAUCAAUUGCAUUUCUGAAGUCGUGAUUUCACCAGUCAUACAUAGGUAUAGAAGCUAGUUUUGAAGGUGCGAUCUGUCAUGCUAACUACAGGAAAUACUCUAGAGUGAGAAAUUGGACUCUUGGCUUGACAGGAGGUAAAGAUCAAAUAGCUGUUAUCAGAGCCUCUGGAAGCAUUAGUCGUGUUCGUAGUCCACUUAGUUUGUCUAGUUCGGGUAUCGUUGGCGAGCAAUUCAUUGAAAAGAUUCGUACUAUAAGAGGUAAGAUGUACUACAUACCAAGUACUAUUUACAUCUUUUAUGUGGUGACAGAUAGGUCUGACUUGCACAUGUUCUCACCCCUGUGUUUUAUUAUAAUUACAAUGAUCUACCCUUGGAUGAAGCAAUAUUGAUUAUUGGAUUUCAUAAGCACCACAUUUCCUGAGAAUUAAAGGAACACAACCAAAUAUGUUUCUUUAUCGGUGCACUACAAUUUUGAUUUAUGGUCAUUGGACACAAUGUGAUGCCAUUUAUAUUAAUGUUGCAUUGUCCACUUGUUUUUAUACCAGUUUUGCAUAUUAGUUUAGUGCAUUUUUCUAGAAGAAGUUCAAACUUGAUAUAAAUUUGCACAUGUAAUAUCUUUGGAGUCUUGAGUUCACACCAAAUUGAUUAUGUAUGGUCAUUAGAAUAUUCAUUGGUCAUAUAAGUUGAGAGCUGUCUGCAAAAUAUUUCAUUUGGUCCAAGCCGGAGCAAGUAUUGUGCUUAAACCAUUCAUGAUUCCAAAAUUUUAUGUUGCUCUUUGUUUGACCUUUGUGCUUGAACUUAAUAGCAAUGGGUCUCCUUAGACAACUGGACUGAUACUCUCUUUAACCUGUAGUAGUUACAAUGGUAUAGUGUCCAAAUGGAAGGUGGCUUUUCAAACCAAAAGAAAUGGACAUUUUGGAUUACUGACUAGGAGAUCAGUAUAGAUGUUAGUUCUGAUUAAGUGUGAGGAAUGAGAUCCCCAUAGAUGUGUUCCACCGGGACUCAGUAUGCAAUACAAACAUUUUUGUCUUAAAUUGACCAAGGUGUGUAUAGAUACAUAAAGUUUUGUUUGUUGUACUUUUAUGUUCAACUGUCUCUAUUCACCAGCUUGACAAAGAGUUUAGUUUAGUUCAGUAUUGCAGAUCCUUCAAAUUAAUUUUCUUGAUUAUUUAGUUUCUCUUUCCAGAGUCAAAGAAAUACAAAGCUGUUAUCAUUCGAAUUGAUAGCCCUGGAGGUGAUGCUCUUGCUUCUGAUUUGUAAGUGUCAUUGUAGAGUAGUAACCUUAUUCAGCUGAUAAUGUAUCUUUGCUUCUUUUACGAGUGAGACUAAGGGGCCGUUUGGGAAUAUAAAGGAGAGUUGAAAGGAGAUUUCUUGUUGAAGAGUUCUACGAACUUACAACUCUUUUCUAUACAACCCAUGGUCUAGAUGAUAUUGUAAGAGAAUUUUGAAAAUCAAAAUUCCUUUCUCGAUAAGUCUUAAGAUUUGGCUUCUGACUUACGACUUUCUUACAGUAGAAAACCCUGUCCCAUGACCUCCGCCUCCCCUCCUUUCUUCUUCAUUUUGUGCUACGACCUACAGAAUAUCACCUUUCAACUUUCUACUUUCUCCUUUCUAUCCCUGAACGGCCCCUAACAUUUUGCAUUUGAGAAUUGUCAUUAAGCAUGAUUUAUGACAUCAUUAGAUAUUAUGUACUUAUUGAUUUUGUGAUUUUCUCAGUACAUGUUCAUUUGAAUCUUGUUAUAUUCUAUUAGACUGUUUCAAGUUGUUGCUCAAAUUUAGGGCAGCAUUUAUUUACUACAUAAACAAAAGAUGUUAUGAUGUGUUUUGGAAAGAGAAUACUGUCAAUAUACAGUUUGAAGAAAGUGUGCACAUAGAUGGAUAAGGAUCUACAUAAAUGUUCGAAUGUUGUUCUAAAUUUAUAAAAAGAUCCGUCUUUCUAGCAUGCGUGAGAAACGAUUUUACUUGGACUUCAUGAGAUUCCAUCUUGAAAGCUCUGCCCUUUCUAUUGUAUAUCUACUAAUUGAAGCGUUUAAACUUUAAACCUUGUAUGCUUGCCUCAGAAUGUGGAGGGAGAUCAAGCUUCUCGCAGCCUCUAAACCCGUCAUUGCAUCAAUGUCUGAUGUGGCGGCAAGUGGAGGGUAUUACAUGGCUAUGGCAGCAGGAUGUAUUGUUGCAGAGAGCCUUACUUUGACAGGUUCCAUUGGAGUUGUCACAGGUAACCUUAUAACUUCUCUACCUCAAUAAUUAUGAUGAUUUAAGUCAGAAUAAUAAGUUUUGAUAAUUCAUUGUGAACCUGUUUAUACUAUGUUGAAAGAGUGUUCACACAUGAUGGGCCCCAGGAAUUUUUCCAUGUUUAAUACUUGUAACCGACUCAAGAGUUGACGCUUAAAACAUCUUCCUCCACCGAGGGGGUGUUUAUAAACAAGACACAUACAACCAUAGGAGAUGUAGCUGAAUAAAACCAUCCAGGUUCAUUAUUAUUGCCUUUGUAGAUGUAAACCAGCCAAGUGAUUUUAGACAUUGUGUGGCCAUACUGUCAGACUGCUGAAGAAAACUGGAAAUAACUACUAGUGACGUUUGAGACUAGUGAUCUGAGACAGAUCAAGAUCAAGAAGGCUAGUCUCUUAUUGAAGAUAAGUGUCUUAAUAAUAUAGAGCUAAGGGGUACAAGAUUGAAAUUAGGAAGAUCAUGUCAUUAAUUAGAAUUUGAGGUAGUUUGUGUAGGCGGUGCGAGAUGAAGAGUCAAUUUAAUAUGCCCAUAUGUCUUCAUGACAGGAAAAUUUAACUUGGGGAAGUUGUAUGAAAGGAUUGGAUUCAACAAGGAGAUUAUAUCAAGGGGAAAAUAUGCUGAGCUCACUGCAGCAGAACAACGUCCUUUCCGGUUAGAAAUUUCAAUGCCAUUAUAAGAAAGCAGCUAUAAUUUAUACCUAACAUCAAAAUAAGUGCUGAGAAUUGAAAAGCUAUUAAGGCUGAUGCAUAUCACAUAAACUUCACUCACAGGCCAGAUGAAGCGGAGCUCUUUGCCAAGUCUGCACAGAAUGCAUAUAAAAUGUUUCGAGACAAGGCAGCACUUUCAAGAUCAAUGACAGUAUGCUGCACUACCAUUCCUCUUCUUUUUUUUUCUUUACAAAAUACUCUUUUGUCUUAAACCAUAGUUUGUUGAAUCUCACACAAGUCCCAAUACCUCCAAUGUAUAGGUAGAUCAAAUGGAGGAGUUUGCUCAAGGUAGGGUAUGGAUCGGUAAAGAUGCAGCCUCCCGAGGUUUGGUUGAUGCUUUAGGUGGUAUCUCUCGAGCUGUUGCCAUUGCAAAGCAGAAGGCAAAUAUACCACAUGACAAGCAGGUUGUUGCUGAAUAGUUUCUGUCUUAUGCUAUUCUUUAUUGUUUUGUAGUGCUGAUUUUGGAUGAAACUGCUAAAUCACAUCCGAAGAUGUUUUUCAUUAUAUGAUUGAACCGGACUGGCUUAUGUCCCAACAAAUAAAUAUAAAAAAAAAUGAUAAAGAGAAAAAAAAACAGGAAGCAAAAAGACACUGGCUUGAAGUCCCAAUCCUAGUUUCACAGGGCUUUUGAUCAAAUGUAAUACAGGAAACAGUUUGUUUGUUUGAUAAAAGUUGUCACUAGGAAACAGUUUGUUUGUUUGAUAAAAGUUGUCACUAGGAAACAGUUGGCUCACAUAGAUAUAUAAUGGCUGCAGUCUUGCAAUGAGGUGCUUCCGCAUUGACUGCAUGUUUUUUUUCCACCUCCGUUUGGUUUAUUUCUCCCCUUUUUUCCUUCUCUUGAUAUUCUUUAAUUUGUCUGCUUGGAUCCAGGUUACACUUGUUGAGAUGUCGAGACCAUCUCCUACAUUACCAGAGCUCUUAAGUGGUAUUGGCACUUCCUUACUUGGAUUGGACCAGACGGUGAAGGUACUUUUGCAGGAAUUAACACUUACUGAAGGAGUUCAAGCCAGAAUGGAUGGAAUCAUGUUUGAGAAAUUAGAAGCUGCUUCUUCUGGCAACCCCAUAUUUACGCUGAUAAAAGAUUACCUAAGCUCGCUAUAGUCUCAGUUAACCACACAAAUCGCAUAUCAAUACUUUAAAGUUCUGUAAGGGUUCUUCAAGAUUUCUUGUUGCAAAAAAGCCUCAAAAGUGAUCCAUACAAAAGGAGAUGAAACCUAUAGGAUGCAGAUGCCACAAUUAGUUAUCCAAAAAUUGUUUCAUACCAGAAUUAUACAUGUUUUCCAUAGCCACAGUGAGAGUUUCAUAUACAGUAGAUGUAAAAAGUUAAUACAGUUUGGCAAAAGAAAUACGUUCCAUACGUACAUGGUUAUAUUUCUUUUCUUUUGAUUUAUGCUGUUUCCCAUGGGAAAUGGGCAAGUAAGAGAGACCAAAUGCUAACUUUCUUUUGGAACAAAUGUGGAAGUUAUCCCUUAUUCCCUUUAAAAGAUUUCCUCAUUCUGAUGGGUUUCUGGAAGACAGAAAAACUAGAAACUAUGGUGUGCUAUUUAUCCAAGGAAUGACCAUUCCCAGGCUACCGCUCAGUGGCCACCUAUGGAAAUUUGUUUUAAUUAUUUUGUUUGGAUAGCAUAAGCUAUGGUAUCAGACAAGCAUGUAUAUUACAAAGUAGAAAACAUGUCAAAUUACCAAACCAUAUAUAUGAAAUAAAGUACAAUCAGAGGAGGUUAACUUCUCAAACCAAAAGAAUUCUUUUACUUCAAACUAAUCAGCCUUCUUAUUGAAACUUGAAUUCUUUUGCAACUAGACUCACUAUUGAAGAAAGAAUUUCCCAUGUUCUACUUCUAACUUACAUUUCUGAUUCUUAAUACAUAACAGUAAUGCUUAUUGCUUAAACAAAAACAACAACAACAACAAUUGAGUUCAAAUUCUAGAGAUAGUACCAUCCAUGAUCCAUUGUCAUACUGUAAUGCCAAUUCUUGAAUAGUCUUCAUCUUGAUAAGUUCCACUUGAAUUCCAAUUUCCAAGACAUCCAAUCCAUGUUCACCCGCCAACCAAACAAACCUCUAUCACAUAACUGGAAAAUCUCAGGCCUUGUUUGGAUGACCAAUUAUUUCUGCUAAAAAAGAAAGCUAUUGUAAGUAAGAAAAACAAACAGGUCCUUCAGUUCACCAAAUUCCAAUCAACCUAUAAGAACACUAAAUUAGUAUAUGUAAAAUCCAAACCUGUCAGUUGAACAUCAAGAAACAUCCUUGGCAUUGAAUAAGAAAGCAGCAGAGCAUAAAAUUGAAGCAACAAAUGCAAAAAAUCCUAACCCAAUCAUCAAAGAGAAUCCAGCUACCAUUAAAUCUAUUAAACAUUGAAAAGGAAGAAAACCCAUCAUCAUACUGUAAUUCUCUUCUACUUCUUCUUCUCCUUGAGAAAAAUGAGAAUUGGGAUCUCUAUUAUAUAUAUAUAUAUAAAGAUUUUUCUUACAGAUGCCAAGAAAACAUGGUGACACGCAAACAGU
This 34586-nucleotide long non-coding RNA is filed under the name Aquilegia coerulea. RNAcentral describes it as "long non-coding RNA (ACOE_LNC000562)". Lineage: Eukaryota; Viridiplantae; Streptophyta; Magnoliopsida; Ranunculales; Ranunculaceae. The record is from RNAcentral.